GCAACAACGUUGCCCUGAACGGCAAGACUAACAACUCGUCGCGAGACUUGAGCGUGUGUGGUUUGCAAACUACUAACAACGGCUUGACCAUCAACAACGACAAUAACGGCCUGAAUAAUCACGGCGACCUGCUGCUGAGCCACAAUAACAAACUCGUGAGCUGCGUCGAUCGCGACGACGACGAACAACACGACGACCGCGUCAACGAGGAGGACGACGACGAUCAUCUCGUCGUGAUCGCGAACAACGCGAAGAACGAGCAAGACUCUCAGCAACAGCAGGACGACGACAAAAGCCUGCAGGAGAUAAUCGACAGCGAGCUCGCCCUGAGGAUAUCCGCGGCGAACAACGACACGGCCGCUGCGGACGACGAUACCGAGGACGACGAGCCACUGCUCGAGGACGACAUGGUGGUACAGCAGCAGCCUGAAAUCACCAAGAGGAUUAUUCUUGAGCCUCGACGCGGGUCUUUGAUCGACGAAAACGAGCAGUUCAUAACGCACGAGAUCGAGCAUUAUCGGCUGAUAGCCGAGCCCUAUCCCAAUGCCCACGUCAGUCCCGACCCGAAGGAUCCGCCAGAUGUCGAGGACGUCGACGAGGACGAGGACGACGAAGUUUUCGAAAUCGAGACGGAGACCACGACGACCGAGCCCACGACCACCACGGGUCCGUCUCUGCCGUCCGCCUACGAAGUGUCCAACGAGCUGCAGUUGAAAAACGACAUCAAUCACGAGAAGGAGGAGGACAUCGGCAAGCAAGCCGAGGACGAUCAGACCACCACCAACACCCUGAGCGAUUUCUUAGUCACGGAAGAGACCACCGACGACAACAACUCGUCCAAGGGCGGUGGUCAAUCGUCGAUCGUCGCCACCGACAAGCUCUAUCAGGACAUCGACGAGCUCGUCGUCACGCCCAGCAGCAACUGCAGCAGCGGCAGCGGCAGCAGCAACGAGGACAAGAACAACGGACAUCUGCUGACGGACGAUCUGCUGCUCGACGAGAUAACCGAGGACGACUCGUCCAAGUACAACGACAACGAGUUCAAGGAUCUGUCGAGCGCCACCUUCAUCGAGCACGAGAUACCCGAGCCGAUCUCGCUUAAAGAGGCCUCGGGGGUGGACGAGAAGUCCUGCUCGUUUUACGAGACCGAGGCCAGAAGCCCCGAGCCGACCAGCGUGGACAACGACGACGACGAGAGCAACAGUAGUCUGUCGAUCAGCAAUAUACCGACGACUACGACGCAGACCGUGUCCACCGACGUGACGGAUUUCAAGGACAACAACACCAACACCACCACCACCAAGAGCUCCGAUUGGCUCGACGAUCAUCAUCGCCACGUCGACAAGGAAUUAUCACCCGUGUCGAUCGUCGUCACGCAAGCCGCGGAGGAGCCGCAGCAGCAGCCGCAGAGCUUGCAGAGCUUGCCGAGCUUGCACGAUCAGUGCAGCGUGGGCAGCACCCCCUACGACAGCGGCAACUUUUACAGCCAGGAGGGCAAGUUCGAGAAUUAUCUCGAGAAGAGCGGCAGCCGACUGCUGGAGGAGGACGACGGCGGCGAUCUGGCUCCGCUCGCGACUCCCGACGAGAUCUCGGAGAUUUCCAAUGCCGCCUCUAACGAUAGCGAGAGUCGCGAGGAGGUCAUAACGACGAGCUCCGUCGUGAGCUCGACGAAGAAAAAGAAGAAGAUCGAGGCCACAGCGGGAAGCGAUGCAUCGCCGAAUCACACGAAAACUAAGAAAACCAAGAAAAGCAAGAAGAGCGAGCUCGAGAAGGAGAACAUCUCCGUGAAGAAGAAAUUAAAAUCAAAAGAGUCGAAGAAAGAGAGCUUAAACAUGCACACGGGACCGAGGCAGACGUCGGCGGAGAUGAUCGAAAUCUCUGCCGAGGACGAUCUGUCGAAUGUCAACGUCAAGUCGCUGACACAGACGUACGCCCUGGAGUCGUCGCAUCGAGGCGAUUUGGAGAAACCAAACAAAGAAAUCAUCGCCACCGGUGUGUCCAUCAAACAGUUGUGUCGCAGCUUCGGAGACGUUUCCAACAUGAACGACGCCGACAAGAACACCACGCUCACGAAUUCGGACAGCAAUAGGCAUCACGAGAGAGCAAAAUCGACGGGCGAUCUGAGCUUUGACGAGCAGGACCGAUGCAAGUACUUCACAGGUCGUGACGUAGUUUUCGCUUCAGUUAAUGUCAAGGCUCUCCGAGCCUCGUACAAUAACCUGGCGAACUUGCAACGCUCCGUGUCGGAUUGUCCCAAGCGAAGAUACACGCGCUCCUGCAGCGAUCGCAUAAGGCCCGUGGCUGACCUGUUCGAGAAAUCGAGCUUCAACAAAUUCGACGCGCUGACGAAAAAAUCAGGCGCCGUGCUGCACGUACGCUCGGUCGACGCCAGCAAAGUCCAGCAGCAGCUCAAUUCCGUCGCUCAGAACGGCGACGCCAAUCCGAACUGUCGCAGUUGCGGCAAAGUCGUCUUCCAGAUGGAGCAGACCAAGGCCGAGGGCCUGGUCUGGCACAAGAACUGCUUCCGCUGCUGCCAGUGCAGCAAGCAGCUCAGCGUCGACAGCUACGAGAGCCACGAGUCGACCCUGUACUGCAAGCCCCACUUCAAGGAGCUGUUCCAGCCGAAACCCGUCGAGGAGAGCGACCAGCCCAUGCGCCCUAGAAAGCCGGAGAUGAUCAUACGCGAAAAUCAGCCAAAAGAGUUACCGCCCGACGUCGUGAGAGCUUCGGACAAGCCCGAUCUCGGGCUCGAGGAGCUCUCGGCGCUCAACGUCAAGUCACGCUUCCAAGUCUUCGAAAAGGCCAACAACCACGACAACCACUUAAACGAGAUCGAAAGGUCUCCGUCUCAAGUGGCCGUCAAGAGGUCGCCCAGUAUACUCAGUAAAUUAGCCAAAUUCCAAGCGAAGGGUAUGGACAUCGGCGUGACGGACGACGCUCUCAAUGGAAUACCAUACGAAGAAUCCAGCGAGAGCGACGAGGAGAUCGAAGAGGAGGAAACAGAAGAAGUUGAGACCGAGACGACAAUAAUCAAGUCGAAUCGAGGCAAUCGUGAACGACCGAUUAGCUUCACGAAAAUGGACGACAUCAAGAACCGCUGGGAGAGCACGAGCCGAGAGGGCAGGAAGGAGUCGCUGCGCGAGGCUCGCAAGGAAGAGAUCGCCGGAAUACGCUCGAGGCUCUUCAUGGGCAAACAAGGCAAAAUGAAGGAAAUGUACCAGCAGGCCGUGGCGGACAGCGAUAAAAUUCAGAAAAUCAACGCGGUGGAAGAGAUCCAACAUUCGACAAACGCGCGCUCCAUUAAGGAGCGCUUCGAACGUGGCGAACCGAUCGCGGCGACGAGCGACGAGGAAAUCGAAAAUGCCAAGAACAAAUCAGAAAAGCCGGACGAGGAGAUACUUGCCGCAGGAAUAAGCAGAAAAUCCCGUUCGCUGUUCCUCGAGAUGGACGCAACGGCCGCGAAAACCGGCAGACCCGUGACGCCCAACAGUCAAUCCAAAGCACCAGAGACCCCCACCAGCAGGAGGGCGCGCGACGCAUUCAUGGGCCGACAAGUGUCGGACGACGUGGUGCGUAGCAGCGAUCAGACCGAAGAGGUAAAGGUCGAGACCUCGGACAUUUCGAACAAAUUCAAGUUCUUCGAAACCUACAGAGAGCCAGAAAAGACGCGCAAACAGUUUCGGAUCACACCGCCUCGUGACGGACAAGUCAAGUUGGAUUCGCCAGAUCGCGAGAUCUACCGUGAUCCGGAAGUGGUGCGCGCCGACGAUCGCGCCACCGACGACAUCGUCCACACGGACACGGCCCGCAAGAUGCUCGGCUUCUUCCGCCAGAUGGAGGAGAAGGCCACCAAGGAGGACCUGCCCGACGGCCCGAAGCCCCUCAAACGUUUCACGCCGCCGCCCGAGGACAAAUUCGGCAAAGCCACGGCCAGCGAGUCCGGCGAGGAGGAGGAAGAGGCCGACGAGUCCGAGGACGAGGAACAGAACCCCAACUACGUUCGGGCUUCCGAUAAAGUCGAGGACGAGUUCCUGAAGCAGGCGAACAACGGCGCCGUGCGCGCCAAGACUCUGCGCGCCAAGUUCGAGCAGUGGGAGACGAGCGACGCGAAAGCCGCCGCGACGAACAAUCAUCAUCACGUGGCCGAGAUGGACAUGGCCCAGACCGACGGCAGCCAGCCGAGCAUCGAGUCAGCCAGCUCCCUGAGAGCUCGCUUCGAGUCGCUGGGCUCGACGCCGCAAGAGGCACCGCGCACGCCUAAGGUCAAGGUCAAUCGAUUUGUGCUUCAAGUCGAUGAAAAAGUUCGAAACAUUAUAGCAUUAAUUUCUUUCACAUAUUUUCUCAUCUAUAUCAUAUUCUUUUACGAACCCCCCCAUGGUUUCAUAGGAAAUUCAAACGAACUGCAUCGAUGUGUGCGAAAGUUGCGAGAAGAAGGUCUAUCCACUUGAGAAAGUGGAAACGAACAAUAAGAUAUUCCACAAGCAGUGCUUCAGAUGUCUUCAGUGCAAUUGUAUCCUGAGAAUGGAUACUUUCACUUUGAAUAACGGCAAGCUCUAUUGCAUCCCACACUUUAAGCAGCUCUUUAUAACCCGAGGAAAUUACGACGAGGGUU
RNAcentral lists this unclassified non-coding RNA (4612 nucleotides) under Trichogramma pretiosum. Its description in RNAcentral is "uncharacterized LOC106651448, transcript variant X10". Lineage: Eukaryota; Metazoa; Arthropoda; Insecta; Hymenoptera; Trichogrammatidae. The record is from RNAcentral.